CCAGACUCCUACGGGAGGCAGCAGUGGGGGAUAUUGCACAAUGGGGGAAACCCUGAUGCAGCGACGCCGCGUGGGCGAAGAAGUAUUUCGGUAUGUAAAGCCCUAUCAGCAGGGAAGAAGAAAUGACGGUACCUGAGUAAGAAGCGCCGGCUAAAUACGUGCCAGCAGCCGCGGUAAUACGUAUGGUGCAAGCGUUAUCCGGAUUUACUGGGUGUAAAGGGAGCGCAGGCGGCCUUGCAAGUCUGAUGUGAAAGGCCGGGGCCCAACCCCGGGACUGCAUUGGAAACUGCGAGGCUGGAGUGUCGGAGAGGCAGGCGGAAUUCCUAGUGUAGCGGUGAAAUGCGUAGAUAUUAGGAGGAACACCAGUGGCGAAGGCGGCUUACUGGACGGCAACUGACGCUGAGGCUCGAAAGCGUGGGGAGCAAACAGGAUUAGAUACCCGCGUAGG
RNAcentral lists this ribosomal RNA (448 nucleotides) under uncultured bacterium. RNAcentral describes it as "partial 16S ribosomal RNA". It matches the Rfam family "Bacterial small subunit ribosomal RNA", at positions 331 to 794 of the family's 1533-position model. The record is from RNAcentral.